This 909-nucleotide long non-coding RNA is filed under the name Apteryx rowi (Okarito brown kiwi). Its description in RNAcentral is "lncRNA (ENSARWG00000015542.1)". Lineage: Eukaryota; Metazoa; Chordata; Aves; Apterygiformes; Apterygidae. The record is from RNAcentral.
CCUGGCUGCUGACGAGUGGGAUGUCGCCCUUCUAAGCUGCACUGCUCUGCCUAAUAUCUGCUUCUUAUCUACUGCUUACACAGGGCCAUACAGAUGGAUGGAAAGAUAUGGUGCUUAUCAGACAGAUGAAGAUGGGAUCCAGAGAAGAGUAGGAAAGGAAAUGAGGAGGAGGAGGAGAGAGAAGAGGGAGCUGAUGGUUACACCAGAUUUGGGCACCUGUGGGACAGAGGGAAGGGUGACAUAGCUGAGAGUGCCAGAAAAAAGGAGGAGGUGCAGAUGAAGACGGACAGAUAAAGUGUCUGAUGUUUGAGGUUGCCACAGAUGAUGCAGAAGGAAAUAUGAGGAAGGCUGCAAGGCUGGCAUCCAGCCCUGAGUCAGAAAGCAGUACCACUGUGAAAGGAUGGUGGCAGCAUGAUCUCCUGAUGUCCAGGGAAACAUCUGUUCUCCAGUCACUCAGAAGAAUAUAGUUGAAAGAGGCACAAGUCUGCUGAUUAAGUUAACAUCCAGGAACACCUGAGAUCAGAAGAGAGGGGGAAAGCAUUAUCUCUAAGUACCUAGGCCAUCAGGAUGGACCUGAAGUACAGCAGAGUGGAACAAGCAACGGCAGAUAUACUAAACUAAAUGACUCAGAAAAAGAAAGCUAAAGAAAGAAAAAAAAAGAAGAAGGAAGAGAGGAAGGGAGGGAGGAAGGGAAGGACAAAUAUGAGGAACAAGAAAAAGUACAUUUUAAGUCAACUUGGGAGGAGAAAGAAGCAAGGGAACAAGCAAUUGAGAAGAAACAGGGAUGAAGAAUCAAAAUUAAUCUCCACAUGUAAUUUAGGUAAAGGAAUUUCACUCCAUUCAUUUUAUAAAAUGAAUAAAGCUGCCAUGCAAAUACUGGUGCAAUUAAAUCAUAUUUCUCUGUUGAAG